This 1434-nucleotide long non-coding RNA is filed under the name Macaca fascicularis (crab-eating macaque). Its description in RNAcentral is "lncRNA (ENSMFAG00000052818.1)". Lineage: Eukaryota; Metazoa; Chordata; Mammalia; Primates; Cercopithecidae. The record is from RNAcentral.
UUUUUUUUUUUUUUUGAGAGAUGGUCUCCCUGUUGUCCAGGCUGGAGUGCUGUGGCACAAUCACGGCUCACUGCAGCCUUGAACCCCUGGGCUCAAGCAAUCUUCCUGAUUGAGCCCAGGAACCUCCCAAGUAGCCAGGACUACAGGCACCUGCCACCACACCCAGCUGAUUAUUAAAAAAAAAAUUUUUUUUUUUUUGUAAAGACAAGGCAUCAUCGCUACAUUGCCCAGGCUGGUCUGAAACUCCUGGGCUCAACUGAUCCUCCCGCCUUGGCCUCCCAAAGCUGAGAUUACAGGCAUGAGCGGCCAUGCCUGCCGGUUUCUAAACAGCAGGAUGUUCUCAUUCCAAUAUUGGUGGUUAGCAGAGAACUGGAGAGAGCUGAGUUCCAAGCCCUUACUCCUCUACCUGUUAGCUAUGUAAGCUUGGCCCAAGUGACUUCUCUUGAAGCCUCAUUUUUUCUCCUCUGUAAAAUGGGACUUUCUGCACAUCUCGGGCUGUAGUGAGGAUUAAAGGCAUCAUAUAUGGAAAUGACUGCUGUUGCUGUCUCCCUCUGAGCUUUUUUUUUUUUUUUUUUUUUGAGACAGGAUCUCCCUCUGUCACCCAGAUUGGAGUGCAGUGGCACGAUCUUGGCUCACUGCAGCCUCAACCUUCCAGGCUCAAGUGAUCCUCCCACCUUAGCCUCCCAAGGAGCUGGGACCACAGGCGUGUGCCACAAUGCCUGGCUAAUUUUUUGUAUUUUUUAUUUUUUUUUGGGACGGAGUCUUGCUCUGUUGCCAGGCUGGAGUGUAAUGGCGCAAUCUUGGCUCACUGCAACCUCCGCCUUCUGGUUUAAGCGAUUCUCCUGCCUCAGCCUCCUGAGUAGCUGGGAUUGCAGGCGCGCACCACCGCACCUGGCUGAUUUUUGUAUUUUUUAGUAGAGAUGGAUUUUCACCAUGUUGGUCAGGUUGGUCUCGAACUCCUGACCUCAGGUGAUCCACCAACCUCAGCCUCCCAAAGUGCUGGGAUUACAGGCGUGAGCCACCGAGCCUGGCCUUUGUUGCUUGAUAAUAUCUAGCCCCUCUUAGUGUGCUUAGUGAGCACUUCCUAUGUGCCUCUGCUAAGUGCUUGUGGCAGAUGUGUUUUCCCUGUCCAGGUGCCAACACUUCCAUGUUUCCUUAAGGAUGCAUCCAUUUCCCUAUCGCAGGCCAUUUGGUUUGAAUGGGACUGCCUCCAACUCCAGGCAGGGUUUGGCCCCGUCUCUACUAAAAAUACAAAAAUUAGGCUGGGCAGAGUGGCUCACAUCUGUAAUCCCAGCACUUUGGGCAGCCCAGGCAGGCAAAUCACCUGAGGUCAGGAUUUCGAGACCAGCCUGGCAAACAUGGUGAAACCACAUCUCUACUAAAAAUACAAAAAUUAGGCCGGGCACGACGGCUCAUGCCUGUAAUCCCAGCACU